RNAcentral lists this ribosomal RNA (460 nucleotides) under uncultured bacterium. RNAcentral describes it as "partial 16S ribosomal RNA". It matches the Rfam family "Bacterial small subunit ribosomal RNA", at positions 338 to 795 of the family's 1533-position model. The record is from RNAcentral.
CCUACGGGAGGCAGCAGUGAGGAAUAUUGGUCAAUGGACGAAAGUCUGAACCAGCCAAGUCGCGUGAAGGAUGACUGCCCUAUGGGUUGUAAACUUCUUUUAUAUGGGAAUAAAAUGUUCCACGUGUGGGAUUUUGUAUGUACCAUAUGAAUAAGGAUCGGCUAACUCCGUGCCAGCAGCCGCGGUAAUACGGAGGAUCCGAGCGUUAUCCGGAUUUAUUGGGUUUAAAGGGAGCGUAGGUGGAUUGUUAAGUCAGUUGUGAAAGUUUGCGGCUCAACCGUAAAAUUGCAGUUGAAACUGGCAGUCGUGAGUACAGUAGAGGUGGGCGGAAUUCGUGGUGUAGCGGUGAAAUGCUUAGAUAUCACGAAGAACUCCGAUUGCGAAGGCAGCUCACUGGACUGCAACUGACACUGAGGCUCGAAAGUGUGGGUAUCAAACAGGAUUAGAUACCCGAGUAGUC